This 1710-nucleotide ribosomal RNA is filed under the name Nannoperca obscura. RNAcentral's name for it is "16S ribosomal RNA". It matches the Rfam family "Bacterial large subunit ribosomal RNA". Lineage: Eukaryota; Metazoa; Chordata; Actinopteri; Centrarchiformes; Percichthyidae. The record is from RNAcentral.
CGCUAAAUAGCUAGCCCACCCAACCAAAAACAUAACUCAUUAUAAGGUGAUAAGGUAAGAGAAGCUUGUUUACGACAUAAUAGCCCAUGAUGAUGUGUUAGGUUAGUCCACUUGACUCUUGACCUAGAUAAAGUACCGCAAGGGAACGCUGAAAGAGAAAUGAAACAACCCAGUAUAAGCCCUAGAAAGCAGAGACUAAAACUCGUACCUUUUGCAUCAUGAAUUAGUUAGUAAAACCCAAGCAAAGUGCACUUUAGUUUGAUUUCCCGAAACUAGGUGAGCUACUCCAAGACAGCCUAUUAAUAGGGCACACCCGUCUCUGUGGCAAAAGAGUGGGAAGAUCUUUGAGUAGAGGUGACAAACCUACCGAACCUAGUUAUAGCUGGUUGCCUGAGAAAUGGAUAGGAGUUCAGCCUCCCGGCUUCUUUCUUGACCACCCCUUCGUCUUAACGGACUACCCUUAGACAUUCAAAGAAACCGUGAGAGUUAUUCAAAGGAGGUACAGCUCCUUUGAAACAAGAUACAACUUUUCCAGGUGGGUAAGGAUCACAAUAAACAAAAGGUAAAAUGUUCUGGUGGGCCUAAAAGCAGCCAUCCCUAUAGAAAGCGUUAAAGCUCAGACAUAUAACUACCCCCUCCGAUCCCGAUAAUUCAAUCCCAGCCCCCUAAUCUUACCAGGCCGCCCCAUGCAAACAUGGGGGUGACCAUGCUAAUAUGAGUAAUAAGAGAGCCUCCGACUCUCUCCCUGCACACGUGUAAAUCGAAAUGGACUCCCCACCGAACUUUAACGGCCCCAACCAAAGAGGGUACUGAACAACAGACCAAACAACUAGAAAAGUUUUCAACAAACAACCGUUAACCCCACACUGGUGUGCCCCUUGGGAAAGACUAAAAGAAAAAGAAGGAACUCGGCAAACACACGAGGCCUCGCCUGUUUACCAAAAACAUCGCCUCUUGCAAAAUUAAUAAAUAAGAGGUCCCGCCUGCCCUGUGACUAUAUGUUUAACGGCCGCGGUAUUUUAACCGUGCGAAGGUAGCGCAAUCACUUGUCUCUUAAAUGGGGACCUGUAUGAAUGGCAUAACGAGGGCUUAACUGUCUCCUUUUUCAAGUCAAUGAAAUUGAUCUCCCCGUGCAGAAGCGGGGAUAACAACAUAAGACGAGAAGACCCUAUGGAGCUUUAGACACCAAGGCAGAUCAUGUUAAACACCCCUAAAUAAAGGGCUAAACCAAAAGAAACCUGCCCUAAUGUCUUCGGUUGGGGCGACCGCGGGGAAACAAAAAUCCCCCACGUGGAACGGGAGAUUCCGUAUUUUUCAUCUCCUAAAACUAAGAGCCCCCGCUCUAGUAAACAGAAUUUCUGACCAAUAAUGAUCCGGCAAUGCCGAUCAACGGACCAAGUUACCCUAGGGAUAACAGCGCAAUCCUCUUUUAGAGCCCAUAUCGACAAGGGGGUUUACGACCUCGAUGUUGGAUCAGGACAUCCUAAUGGUGCAGCCGCUAUUAAGGGUUCGUUUGUUCAACGAUUAAAGUCCUACGUGAUCUGAGUUCAGACCGGAGUAAUCCAGGUCAGUUUCUAUCUAUGAUAUGAUCUUUUCUAGUACGAAAGGACCGAAAAAAAAGGCCUCUACUUAAGGUACGCCUUACCCCCAACUAGUGCAGACAACUAAAAUAGGCAAAAGGGCAUACCCUUGUGCCGAAGAAUACGGCAU